This 188-nucleotide ribosomal RNA is filed under the name Calonectria pini. RNAcentral's name for it is "partial 18S ribosomal RNA". It matches the Rfam family "Eukaryotic small subunit ribosomal RNA", at positions 1642 to 1831 of the family's 1831-position model. Lineage: Eukaryota; Fungi; Ascomycota; Sordariomycetes; Hypocreales; Nectriaceae. The record is from RNAcentral.
GUUUUACGUCCCCUGCUUGUACACACGUCAGUCGCUACUACCGAUUGAUGGCUCAGUGAGGCGUCCGGACUGGCCCAGAGAGGCGGGCAACUGCCACUCAGGGCCGGAAAGCUCUCCAAACUCGGUCAUUUAGAGGAAGUAAAAGUCGUAACAAGGUCUCCGUUGGUGAACCAGCGGAGGGAUCAUUA